This 2426-nucleotide long non-coding RNA is filed under the name Mytilus galloprovincialis (Mediterranean mussel). Lineage: Eukaryota; Metazoa; Mollusca; Bivalvia; Mytilida; Mytilidae. The record is from RNAcentral.
CCUUAAAGACAAUUUUACACAAUUUGUUCAUCAAGUUUGCUAACAUUUAAAAAUCUUCUCCUCUGAAACUACUGGGCCAAAUACCUGCAAACUUUAAUUGAAUGUUUCUUAGUUACACUUUACACUUUCAACACAUGUCAACAUUCAAUGAUUAUCAGUAAAGCAGACAAAACAGAAUGUGCACUUUUGUUUACAGGUUUUCAUCUGUGUAUUUAUUUAACAUUUAAAUUUUUUUAUAAAACUUUAUUUGCAGUUUCUUAUCAUGUUUAUUGACUGUUGGCAGAAGGGGUAUGUAAUAUAAAGUGGCAUAAAGGCCAUGAAGACAGACUUAACAUAACAUACUGAAGUUGAAAUUAGAGUUUAACGAAGGCCCACGUGUAAUCCUUUAUUGACAGUGGCAGAACUUGGACCAACAGAUUUCACUUUGGGUAUUUAAUAAAAUUAAUAAUUAGCUUAAGACAGGGGCUUUAAUACUUUACUUUAAGUUUUUUUUUUUUUGAUUUAUGCUGAAACUGAAGAUGUUUUAACAAUAUAAAAAUACUGAGAUGCGGUAUGAUUGCGAAUGAGACAACUCUCCACCAGAAACCAAAAGUGACAUAACUAAUUUAGACAAAUGGUUGCUACAAAGACUUUUUCUGAUUAAGGGCUAUUGUCCUUAAUUGAUUGAAAAAUAACUAAUUAUGACAUUUCUGUGUAAUAACUUGCAUUCAAUUAUGAAAGUGCCAAUUUUCACUUAUAAAAUGUUAUACUACUCAGGACUUAUGGCUCUUGAUUGUUUUAACGUGACACUAAAAUGUAGGCAAAAUCUGAAAGUACAGCAUCUAUUUAAAAUAAGAGUGAUUUUGUUCUAUAAUUAUAUAAUACAAUUUUUUUUAUGGUGGUAUGUUACAUAACACAAAUUUGGAUGUUAAUCAUAGUUUAGAGAAAAUACAGAUUUGAUCAAUUUCAAUAAUUAAACAUAUUGGGACAAUCUAAAUAUGACAUCAUAAUUACAGUUUCAUUAUUCCUCAUCAAAUAACAACUGAGUACAAAUUUGAUACAAUGUUUUCUCUUUCUUUUACAGGAUAUAAUGGCAAGUUGGGAUGAGGUAAGUUUUUCUUCUUAACAGUCAUAUGACCUAUAUUGUGAAUACACUGUACAAAAAGAUACAGGCAUGUAGUAUUCUCAUAGUCAGACCUAUGUUGUCAAUAAACUGUACAGAAAGAUACAGGCGUGUAGUAUUCUCAUAGUCAGUCAGUGUCAUGUGACCUAUGUUGUCAAUAAACUGUACAGAAAGAUACAGGAGUGUAGUAUUCUCAUAGUCAGUCAGUGUCAUGUGACCUAUGUUGUCAAUAAACUGUACAGAAAGAUACAGGCGUGUAGUAUUCUUAAACUCAGUCAGUGUCAUGUGACCUAUGUUGUCAAUAAACUGUACAGAAAGAUACAGGUGUGUAGUAUUCUCAUAGUCAGUCAGUGUCAUGUGACCUAUGUUGUCAAUAAACUGUACAGAAAGAUACAGGCGUGUAGUAUUCUCAUAGUCAGUCAGUGUCAUAUGACCUAUGUUGUCAAUAAACUGUACAGAAAGAUACAGUGUAGUAUUAUCAUAGUCAGUCAGUGUCAUGUGACCUAUGUUGUCAAUAAACGUACAGAAAGAUACAGGCGUGUAGUAUUCUCAUAGUCAGUCAGUGUCAUAUGACCUAUGUUGUCAAUAAACUGUACAGAAAGAUACAGGCGUGUAGUAUUAUCAUAGUCAGUCAGUGUCAUGUGACCUAUGUUGUCAAUAAACUGUACAUAAAGAUACAGGUGUGUAGUAUUCUCAGAGUCAGUCAGUGUCAUGUGACCUAUGUCAUGUGACCUAUGUUGUCUAUAAACUGUACAUAAAGAUACAGGUGUGUAGUUUUGUAAGAAGGAGAAUAGGAAAAAAUCAAUAUCAUUACAGUGAGAAGAAUUUCAAUAUACAAAAUUCCAGGGAACAAAAAAAGAGAUGUAAGAUAUCACAGGAUAUAUUCACAACUCUUUUACAAUGUAUGUUGAAGAGAAACUGACAACGCCAUGGCAAAAAAUGAAGAACAAAAACAAUUCAAACAACAAUCUUCAAAGUAUUACAUAAAAAAACUAAAGAUCAAGCAAUACAAACCCCAUCAAAAACUGAUGCAUACUACAGUUGUCUAUAAAGUCUUUUCUAAAAAAAAUUAUAGACAACAAUCUUACUUCGGUUUGGUAAUCACUGUAUUUGAUAUAAGCUAUGGAAACUGUAAACAUGUAGCUUAUUAAAUUCAAUUAUUAUAUUUAUGAUACAUUUGUAUGUUCUAGAGGAAAAUGUUAAAACUUUGUUUUGCUUACAGAAACUUCUUACAGCUGCAGAGGAGGGGAAUAUAAAAGAGGUAGAAAUUAUGUGUAAAGAAUGGAGCUAGUUUGAAAUGUAGAACUAAUGAUAGGGUAAGUGA